AACGAACGUUGGCGGCGUGGAUUAGGCAUGCAAGUCGAACGCGAAAGGGUAGCAAUACCCGAGUAAAGUGGCGAACGGGUGAGUAACGCGUAGGAAACCUGCCUUCGAGUGGGGGAGUAACAUCCUAACGGGUGGCUAAUACCGCAUGAAACUAGCGGGAGUCGCAUGGUUCGUGCAGUCAAAGGUAGGCCUCUAUUUAUAAGCUACCGCUCAAAG
RNAcentral lists this ribosomal RNA (216 nucleotides) under uncultured bacterium. RNAcentral describes it as "partial 16S ribosomal RNA". It matches the Rfam family "Bacterial small subunit ribosomal RNA", at positions 29 to 224 of the family's 1533-position model. The record is from RNAcentral.